This 224-nucleotide unclassified non-coding RNA is filed under the name Hevea brasiliensis (rubber tree). The record is from RNAcentral. Lineage: Eukaryota; Viridiplantae; Streptophyta; Magnoliopsida; Malpighiales; Euphorbiaceae.
CGGGGCUGUUGUGGAUGGGGUGGUCGGGAUUUAACGGCGGAGCGCCGCACUCGGCGAACGUGGUGGCGUCGAUAGCUGUGCUGAAUACGAACGUGAGUGCGGCGAUGAGUCUGCUGGUUUGGACCAUAUUGGAUGUGUUUUACUUUGGGAAGCCAUCGGUGAUUGGAGCCAUUCAGGGUAUGAUGACUGGCUUGGCUUGCGUUACUCCUGGCGCUGGAGUUGUG